Molecule: ribosomal RNA, 253 nt
Filed under: uncultured prokaryote
Description: partial 16S ribosomal RNA
Rfam family: Bacterial small subunit ribosomal RNA
Source: RNAcentral
ACAGAGGGGGCAAGCGUUAUUCGGAAUUAUUGGGCGUAAAGGGCGCGUAGGCGGCUUGGCAAGUGGAAGGUGAAAUCCCUCGGCUCAACUGAGGAACUGCCUUCCAGAUUGCUUUGCUUGAGUCCGGGAGAGGUGAGUGGAAUUCCCAGUGUAGCGGUGAAAUGCGUAGAGAUGUGGAGGAACACCAGUGGCGAAGGCGACUCUCUGGUCUGUAACUGACGCUGAGGCGCGAAAGCGUGGGGAGCAAACAGGA